GACAGAGGGUGCAAACGUUGCUCGGAAUUACUGGGCGUAAAGCGCGUGUAGGCGGUUUCAUAAGUCGUGCGUGAAAGCUCCCUGGCUCAACCGGGAGAGGUCGUGCGAUACUGCGAAACUUGAGUCACACAGAGGCAAGUAGAAUUCCGGGUGUAGUGGUGAAAUGCGUAGAUAUCCGGAGGAAUACCAGUGGCGAAGGCGACUUGCUGGGUCUGUACUGACGCUCAGACGCGAAAGCAUGGGGAGCGAACGGG
This 254-nucleotide ribosomal RNA is filed under the name uncultured bacterium. RNAcentral's name for it is "partial 16S ribosomal RNA". It matches the Rfam family "Bacterial small subunit ribosomal RNA", at positions 524 to 776 of the family's 1533-position model. The record is from RNAcentral.